AGUAAAACCCCAAUAACUUUGACUCUUCACUGCACCUUAGUCGAUUACGUUCCAUCUCUUGGCUCCGAUGAAGCGGCAUCGUAAGUUCGUAACUGUCAUAUGGCAUUCACUCAACAGCACUCACACCGGCGUUAAAAUCAAAGAUCCACUCCUCCUCCCACUAUGCCUUAUUCAAUAUUCUGUUUCCUUCCUCAGACACGACGAAUCCAGACCUAUAAAUAAGGGUUCUCGGUCUGUCAGAUUUUUCAGCUUCUCCUUCUGGCAUCAUUAGAAUCAUUAGAAAGCCUCACACCAGGAAUAGUUUCCUCAUCGUGCCGAUUUAAAAUCAGCUUCAUAGGUUCAAUGAUAAGGCUGCUUUUGCCGAGAUUACUGGUCCGGUCAGUCUGAUAUAUUUGGAGCUGUUUCGGCUCCGCAAUGAGAAGAAGCUGAUUGCUUUGGCUAACACCAAUUCUCAUCUUCCUGGUUGGUCUCUAAGAUUAUGCUUCUAAAAUAGAAAAUUCAAAUUCCGCGAAGAUGUUGUGAUUUUUUUAUAUUUUGUGCAAACAUUAUUGGUGAGUUGACCGGGAUCAAAAGCACUUCAGCGAAUAAGCACACGAAAAAGGCAGUGUUGCAACCAUUAAAAUUCAAAGUUCAGACAUUACACAUGUGCAUGGAUAUAUUGGUUUGGCUAAGUGUGUUAGAGCUAUGACGUAGACCCAAACAUUAUUGUGGCAAGAAGCAUAAACCCAAAAAUGGUUGGAGGUCGGUUUUUCCUGAACCCAACUUUAGCACCCAUUACUACUUUGACAAGCAGACACAGCUGGCAAGAGUUAUUUUCAGAGGUUGGAGUCUAAUGCCGGCACAAACCCAGCACAUGCUUCGUUCAGUCAUGGUUUUGAAAAGGUAGAGCUACGAAUAUGCUAUCGCCAAUAUAUCCCUCAGGAAUGAAAUGUUCCUUUACACCGGGAAAGUGGCGAGUGUUCAUACAGAUAAUGGGUGGUGUUUCAUUGCUUGCUCCAAGUGCUCUUCAUAGGGAAGUAUCGUCGUUUACAUGCAUCAUCUGUGAUAACUCCAACAGUAUCGGUGUGCUCAGGUAACAUGUUGAGCUAGCAGUGGCAGAUGACACUUCUUAUAAAUGUAAGAGACGUGUUUACAUGCCAUAUAACAUUAUGGGGACAUGAAUGUUUUCACAUCAACCACCAAUAAAGUUCUUGCUGCUCAUAUGUGGAGAGAUGAUUCACCAGAAUAAUGCAGGUUUCACUUUUAAAAUGGUCAAUCUUUUCUGAAAAAUAAGCACAUAAGACAUUAUACGAUUGUAGAUAGGUGAAUUUUUUCUAAUCUUAAUGGUACGGUAAUAGACCGCAAGUGAGUUAAGGGAAGAGCUAACAAAGUUAACUCAGAGAAGAAGAAGCUAACAGAGAUGUAGCAACAGUCUACGAGAACUACUACGCAUUACAUCAUCAUCUGGAGAAGCUUCAGAGUCGAAGUAGACAUGAAAUAGGUAUGCUCAAACAACUAGAAAAGAAAAUAAAACAAGAUCCAUAGGAGUUCUUAGGGUUUCCUAAUGGAGUCAGUAGUAGAGAACAACUCCAGCUACCAAGAUCAUCAUCAGCUGCAUCAACAUGAGCAGAAAAAAAAACAGCUUCUUUCAGGCAAAAGACCAGUCAUUGAUAGCUUCAACAAAGCAAAGGUUUCAACAGUAUUUGUGCCUACUGAUACUCCUGACACGAGCUUGGUAGAUGUUUUGUGGUAUUGAUGUUUAUGUUUGCUAUGGACGCAUAAGAACUAAAUAGUGUUAUGUUGUGGAAUUACUUUGCAAAGAUGGGCAUCGAUGGAGGAAAUGUGGUCAUAAGGUUACAAGAGAUAACCAUGUGCAUAGAGCUUACUUAAGAUUUUCGUUUGCCCAUCUUGUCCGGUAAAAAAAGGGUGCAAUACAGUGCAUAGGUUCCAUCUGUACUGGUGGCCACAUAUACGCAUAACCACUUGGAUCAAGCACUGUGACUUUGGAUAUGGUUCAUGUGGGCAUAUAUUAGUUUUGGAGAAGAAAAUGGAGGUUUUGGUUCAUCAAAUGGCGUCUUCGUUAACUACUGAUUCAAAUUUUGCUCCUUUUGCGGCUGCUAUAUUUGGGAGGUUGAUGCAGCAGUCUAGAACAUGAAGCUUUCAAUGAAUGUUUCUGUUUUGAUUUCUCAUCCAUGGAAAAUAGGAUGGGUGUUUCUUCUCUUUCGAAUUGUAGUUGUUACAAAAAGGUGAAAACUUACGUGUAUAUAAAUAUUACACGUACUUGUGUUUUACAUAUAAACGUAACAAGAUUCUUCUCUUUC
This is a long non-coding RNA of Brassica napus (rape), 2300 nucleotides long. RefSeq lists it as uncharacterized. The record is from RefSeq and is a predicted model, not a curated record. The transcript has 7 exons. Lineage: Eukaryota; Viridiplantae; Streptophyta; Magnoliopsida; Brassicales; Brassicaceae.